CGUGUGUGUGCGCAGGUCAGCGGGUCACACACACAAACGCGUGACGGAGAAUCUGGGCGUGACGUUUUACGUGAACGAGCGUUUUCUCUCAGGAGUUCAAGGGCUCGAGUCUGAAGCGCGUGGAGAACAGCGUCGAGGACGACUACAUCUCCAACCUCAGGAACAACUGCUGGAAGGAGAAACAGCAGAAGGAGGGUCUGCUGUAUCGCGCGCGGUACUUCGGGGAUAGCGCUCUGUUCCAGCGAGCGCAGCGGAUGGGAACGCCGAGCUGCUCCCGGCUCUCCGAGGUCCAGGCUUUACACGGAUAAUGAAGCGUCUCUGCACUGCCUGGUUCCAAAAACAAUCUCUCCAGUCUGGAAUAUGGAAGAAUGCCAUACGGAUUGUAAAUACAUUUGUUGAAGAAAAGAAAAAAAUAAGGUUGAACAUUUGCUACAACCAAUGAACUUGACUAGAAAAGACUUACUGAGGGCUGAAAGUGUGUGUGUGUGUGUGUGUGUGUGUGUGUGUGUGUGUGUGUGUGUGUGUGUGUGUGUGUGUGUGUGUGUGUGUGUGUG
Long non-coding RNA from Rhinichthys klamathensis goyatoka, 554 nucleotides. RefSeq lists it as uncharacterized. The transcript has 3 exons. The record is from RefSeq and is a predicted model, not a curated record. Lineage: Eukaryota; Metazoa; Chordata; Actinopteri; Cypriniformes; Leuciscidae.